This 497-nucleotide ribosomal RNA is filed under the name uncultured bacterium. RNAcentral's name for it is "partial 16S ribosomal RNA". It matches the Rfam family "Bacterial small subunit ribosomal RNA", at positions 28 to 507 of the family's 1533-position model. The record is from RNAcentral.
GAUGAACGCUGGCGGCGUGCCUAAUACAUGCAAGUCGAGCGAACAGACGAGGAGCUUGCUCCUUUGACGUUAGCGGCGGACGGGCGAGUAACACGUGGGUAACCUACCUAUAAGACUGGGAUAACUUCGGGAAACCGGAGCUAAUACCGGAUAAUAUUUCGAACCGCAUGGUUCGAUAGUGAAAGAUGGCUUUGCUAUCACUUAUAGAUGGACCUGCGCCGUAUUAGCUAGUUGGUAAGGUAACGGCUUACCAAGGCAACGAUACGUAGCCGACCUGAGAGGGUGAUCGGCCACACUGGAACUGAGACACGCUACAGACUCCUACGGGAGGCAGCAGUAGGGAAUCUUCCGCAAUGGGCGAAAGCCUGACGGAGCAACGCCGCGUGAGUGAGGAAGAUCUUCGGGUCGUAAAACUCGGUUAUUGGGUAAUAACAAACGUGUAAGUAACUGUGCACGUCUUGAAGGUACCUAAUCAGAAAGGCACGGCUAACUACGUG